Molecule: long non-coding RNA, 316 nt
Organism: Gallus gallus (chicken)
Lineage: Eukaryota; Metazoa; Chordata; Aves; Galliformes; Phasianidae
Exons: 3
Source: RefSeq, a predicted model, not a curated record
ACAGUGUGGAUAUAUGAGAGAAAGGGGACACAACAGCCUUCCUCGGAUGGAAGAUUUCCAGGUGACAAGCAGCUAGACAGGGAGGGAUGUGAAGCUGAAUCAGGGAGUGAGAGAGACUGCCCCAAAGCAGCUCCUGCAGCUGUAUGCCUUGGGCCUCCUGGUCCAGAGCUUGGAAACCAAGCUGCUCUCUCAGCACAGAGGUCACUGUGGAUAGUCCUUCAUUCUCUCUGGAGCAAGAGCAUUUGAAAGGGAAGUGUGUGAAAUGAAACACUGGAACAAGGCAGCCAGUGCUUCCUGCUCCCAGCCUGAUCAGACA